GGCUCUUCUUUUUCUUCCUCCUCUCUCUCUCUCUCUCUCUUUUCCUCCUUCUUUCUCUUCCCGCUCCAGCCAGCAAGACUUUUGGGAGAAGCUUGUAACUUCUGAAGGAGAAGACCUGGAAGCCACCUUAGAGAGGGGAGGCGGUGAUCUCGGUGACCUUCAGCCUUCUGGGUCUCCUGGAGUCCCCGUCCUUUUCCCAACCUGCCCUAGCUGGCUGAAAAGAAUGGGAGAUGGAAUCCAGUUGAUCUGGACAGAGGAGGGCGUAGGACUUGGGUAGAGAUGAUCUUAGGUUGUACAAAAAAAUCUUCAAGGCAACAGACUCUAGAUGACCUUUGGAUGUUUACCAUCAUCUUGUUCUAUCUUUCCCUCUUGGGAGUUUGGGUGUAUGUGUAUAUAUAUAAGUGAAGAAUGGGAGUGAUAAGGAGUUGGGGAUUUUUUUUUUCCCCUUUAACCCUCCUUAACCAGGAAGCAGCCAAAUGGAAAGCUAAUCAAACUCCAACCAAGGAAAAGUGUACUGAUUCAGCGCACUAAUUAAUUAACUGCAUAUAGCUUAGCAGCAUGGGUCUAUCGAUUCUGAUAUGCUUGGGACUACUGUCUUGUUGCACAAUCCACGUGCGAUUCAGCUUCACCUGAUGAUAAAUGGACUGAUAAUUCUCUUGUAGAGAGGAAAUCAUGCUUCCUUCACUCAUGGCAAGCCUUUCAAGUCCUGAAACCACAAAACAAAGCACAACACUGCCACCACCAUGCUCGGCAAUUGGUAUAAAGUUCUUACGGAAUACAAUAUUUGGUUUCCUCCAGAGAUUCACGGCCAACGUAGACUGAAAACAUCCAUCUUUUGCUCAUCUACCCACAGAGAAUUUAUCCGUAAAUCUGGAGAGUUAUUGGAAUGCUUUUUUCAGAAGACCUGACCUCACUAACAGUGUUAACAUGCCAUGAAUCACAUUUUUACCCAAUGGUUUUCUUUGGGUAGAAUUGUGGAUACUGACUUUUACUGGGCAGUUGAGACCUGCAAACCUUGGAUGUUUUUAUGGAAUUCUUUAUAGCUUCCCAGUUAUAUGCUGCCCCCUUGGGUUGAGUUUGACAAGACAGCUGCUCUUGAGAAAGUUUGAUAUUGGCCCAGUCCUCCUCCAUUUCAAACAUAUAUCCCUUGACCAUGGAUUGAUGGAACCUUAACGCUUUAUAAAUGAUUGGAUGGUCUUAUCCAGACUGAUAGCCAUUGUUGAUUUAUGGAGAUCCUCGGAUUCUUUUGAGCAACAUAUUUACACGCUUGUAGAAUCUAUGAGGCAAGAAUUUCAAUGUAAGGAAGCAAGCUAAAUUUUGCAGACAACAUGGCUGGCUGAUCCCUAAUAUCUUUAAUUGAAUCGAUUAAACCAGGGGGCACCGUUACAUUUCUCACACGACACCUUUGCAUGUCGGACAAGUAUUGUUGAUGAAGUGAAAUGAAGCAAGGGGCAAAUUUUGGAGAAAAUUGUUCACUCAGACUUUUUUUUAUAUCAAUAGGACUGACAAAUAAAUGGAAACAUUCCAAAAUUCAAAUGCUUUUCACAGGUUUCUGCCUCUCUGUCAUGUAUUUCUUGGUUGCUUUUAGAAACAAAGAGCCCUGUGAAGUGAGUUGGACUUAAGAGUGAUUGACUCACAGAUACCCAGUCAUUUCCAUACCUGUUGUGGUCCGUGAGCAGCCUACGGAGCUGGCAACGGAGUCGGACAGCAAUGAGGCUGAGGUGAGGCCAGGGCCAUCGGGAAGUGAGGUGUGGACUCCAGAGCCUCCAGAGACUGAUAGUAGUGAGGCAGAGGAACAGGAGGAGCCUGUUCCUAUUGCACGCAUGAGAAGAGCUGCCAGAAGGCAAGAGUAGCUCAAGCAGAGAGGACAACUCAGGAGUAGGGCCAAGAGAUGAUUGGCCUCUCCCAUAAGGCUUAAAGCAAACCAGCACCAGCAUUUGGCCUUUGCCGGAAAACAACAUUGUAGCUGCGUCUUCUGCUUCGUAUCUGUCUUUGUUUUGUGGCUUCUGGACAUUUGCCAGGAAGGGCCUUUGGCAGUUUGCCUAAUUGGACUAAGGUUUGUGAGAUAACUGAGGAAUUUGUGUUGGGAGGAUUUGUUUUACUUUGAGUUGAAUGACGCUGGGAAUGAAGUAACUCCCAGCUGUCCGAAUAAAGUUUGUUUUUCCACGGACUAAAUUUAUUGCUACCUACUUGGGCCUGGGUCACAACAGGCGUGAAGGAGUGCUAGAACUCAUAGUCUCCCAGUUCCUAGCCUAAUACCUUCAUCACUACACAUCAUUUUCAAAAAAGGCUCAAAUCAAUAUUUGUCUCCAAACUCUUCUCUGCUUUUAAGUAUCACUGCAGGAUUCACACAGUCCUAGGAUUUUUGUAGGAAAUAAAAAUAUUGAAAAUGUCUGCAAAUGUCUUACAAGCAAAUAUAUUUGCUUGUAAGGCAAGAGCUGUACUAGAGACAUGCAGCUCUGCCUGACCAUAAGUAAGGUGUCGUCAUUAUGGUUGUUUCAUCACAACAAUGUUUGGAUAACUCCAGAAGACACUCUUUUAAGUUGUUAAUUUUUAAGUUAUUAAUGAGCCCUGCAUAAAUUAGGCUACUUACCCAGAGCACUUCUGCUUCCCCCAAAAGACAAUGGAAAGCUAUGAAUUGAGAAUACAUAUCCUGAGAGGCCAGAGUUUAUGGUAGGUGCAACUUUAGGUUUUGGUAAAUUGGAAGUUCAUGAUAGGCUUUAUCUGCUCUGAGAAACAUUUUGGGGUUCCAACUAUUUUAUUAGUUUAUCGAAAUAUAAAAUACAAAGAAAAAUGAACAUAGAGCGGAAGUAGGGAAGAAAAAAAGGGAUAAGGAAGAAGUGUAGGGUAAAGGAGAAAAAAGAAAAGCAUUGAAUGACUCUUUUUAGUGCAGUAGAAUAAGAUAAUAACAUGCAGCCUUGACUUUUUACUGUUACAUAAUGAUACAGUAUGUACUAGCCACUUUUAUAGCAACAAAUUCAUCUAAUCAGCAAAACCCAAGGUUAAGGUUGAUUUUCUCCACCUCAAGCACGAAGUCCAGAAUUGGUUUCCAAGUGGAAACAAAGUUAGCUGCAUUCUUUUCUUUGAUUCGGCCAGUUGAUUUAACCAUCUCUGCUAAUUCCUUGUGGGAAUUAUUCUAACUAUUGCUGCUGCAGUGGUGAGAAUGCAGUCUUGCAGGCUAAUUUUUCAUUCCACUGCCUUGAGUUUGAUCCUGACCGGCUCAUGGUUGACUCGGCCUUCCAGCCUUCUGAGAUGGGUAAAAUGAAGACCCAGAUGGUUGGAAGCAAUAUGAUGACUUUGCAAACCGCUUAGAGAGUAUUGUAAAGCACCAUGAAGCAGUAUAUAAGUCUAAGGGCUAUUGCUAUUGGUUUCCAUUUUUGUGCAUAGAGCAUUCUUGCUGCUGUCACUCUGUGAGCCAUUUUGGAAAUAUAAAAUAUGCCUUUUCUUUGCCCAGGGAACACUUUCAGAAUGUCCUAGGUGCUGUUAAUCCCAAAUUUCAGCAUUACUCAAUGACAGUUGUUGGGCAGCAACAGUUGCUUUUGCAUCUGCUUGGCCUCUGUGAAACUGGGAUGAUAAGUAAAAUGAUCCAAAAUAGUCUGGCUAUGAUAAAACGUUGCUUCCAUCCCAGAAUGCCACCGCACUAGCAAACUGGCAUUGCCGUAGGGCAGCAUUUCUCAACCUUGGCAAUUUUAAGACGUGUGGACUUCAACUUUUAAGAGAUUCCCCAGCCAGCGUGCUGUAGGGAUUUUAUAAUAAUCUUUCAAGCUUGGUUAUUAUUAUUAUUAUUUUUUAACUGGAGGUAGGGCUGGAAAUACGCCUGCCUGGAAAAUAGAAGAUUUGCAACCUGUCUGUCUAGCUGGGAUUAUGCAAAAUGAACCAGAUGUUUGGGCAUAAGGAAGCUGUCUCGGUUUCUAAGACGGAUCCGUUUCUUGCCGCAUGAAAUAGGAUUGUGAUGUUUAGUUGCUUCCGGGGUUGCUGUUAUUACUCCAGAGCUCAAGGGAGCUAACAGCCGUAACCCUGUGAGCUCAAAUGGACUGAGGGAGAAUGACCGAAAGCACAGUGACAGCCUUCAGCUGAAGUCAUCUGUGUUUAAGUCAGGCAGUCUAGUUGCUACACAACACUAUACAAAGAGUGAUGAUGAUGAUGAUGGUGGUGAUUUUUUUACAAAAUUUUCAUUUAAUUAUGCAAAUACCAGGGAACCUUAGAUGUCAGGCCUCUCAAAAGACCGAUUACUUAUUCAUUCCUUUCAUAAUAACUGCAGCCUUGGAAUGAAAUUGAUUCUACUUGCAACCAGUUCAGGUAUAAAAGACUGAUCUGUCAGCAAUUCUAUCUCAGUUUCCAUGUCUAUCAAUAUAUGCCAUUACUGGUGAAAGAGGGACAAAAAGUUCUCGGAUUACCCCAAAGAUUGGCAGACCGGUGUCUAUCGCAAAAUGUCUCCGGUACCCCAGCUUCUGUAGAUGUCGUAAUCCUGCCUCUCUUGUCAAUUUGGAAAGGAUUUCCCAUCUAAAAAAGACUGUGGGCAGAUUUCCGCAUGUCAAUUCGAUAAAAUAAAAAUAAAAAUCCCCGCUUCCCCAAAGUGUGUCAUUUCAAUGAAAUCAUAGCUGAAUACUCAAUGAAAUUCAUAAAUUAACAUUCCUUUUCUUAAGAAAAAAGAUUCUGCCCAGGGCAGAGCAUAAUUAAGAUAUAAAAAUUUUCAGAAGUACAUGACACAAACAAAAUUCGAGGGCUGAAAUUUUGUUUGUGUCGUGUACUUAUGAAUAUUUUUAUAUCUUAAUUAUCCACCCUAAUGAGUAUCUUAAUAAGUCCCCCCUAGUGGGACACUUAGGUGCACAAAAAUAUGUUUUCUCACAUGAUAUUCAAGUAUGAAUUUUUUGAAUUAUAGCCUAUUUGACCACAGUAGCUUUGAGUUCUUAUAGGAGGGCUACAUCCAGUGGUGGGAUUCAAAUAAUUUAACAACUGGUUCUCUGUCCUAAUGACCAGCUGGUUGGGCGUGGCCAUGGUGGGCGUGGCCAUGGGGUGUGACAGGCAGCACUCGGCCUCCUGCACCCCCCGGGAGCAAAAAUGGAUUGUGGGCGGAUGCGCCGCUCCCCCGCCCCCCAUUUUGGGCCUAGUAGGCCUCUCUGCAGCCUCCUGGGAAUGAAAACAGGCCAUGGGAUGGUGCAUGGCGCCCCGUUAUGGGCCUAGGAGGCCUCCCUGAAGCUGCACCCCCCACGCCCCGUUUUGGGCCUAGGAGGCCUCCCUGCACUUACCUGGAAGCCAAAAUGGGGCGUGUGGAGACUCCUGGAAAGGGAGGGGCAUGGAGGGGUAGGGCCAGCCAGCAAUUUAACUACCAGUUCUCCUGAACCAGCCUGAACCGGCUGAAUCCUACCACUGGCUACAUCUGGACCGAGGGGUGCAAUUUUCUACACUACAUUACCAUGAUAAACUGCAUCUGCAAGUUCUGUGAACCACAGUGAAGAUUAAACACCAUUUUUAAUUUUUUUAAUAAACUGAUCAAGGAGAGAUUCAACCUAGAAAUAAGGAGAAAUUUUUUGACAGUGAGAAAAAUCAACCAAUGGAACAGCUUGCCUUCACUUGUUGUGGGUGCUCUGUCACUGGAGGCUUUCAAGAAGAGACUGGACAGCCACUUGUCAGAAAUGGUAUAGGGUCUCCUGCUGGAACAGGGGGUUGGACUAGAUGACCUACAAGGUCCCUUCCAACUCUGUUAUUCUGUCUUUUAACUGUGGAAGCAUUUGGCUAGUCACAGAUCUGUGAAAGAAUCCAUAAAACUGCCCCUCCUCCAAGACAUUUUAGUCUAAAUGCAGAUGUUGGGAUGUCACUCAGGAUUAAUACAGGAUCUACAAAGACUAACAAAAGAAAGCAGCACAUCUGAGAAAAGCUUUAAGUUACCGAAACCAAUUUUGAAAUGGGUUCUAGUUUAAAGUUCAGAGAAAUCCCAAUUCUACUACAAUAAAGCUUUAUAAAGAUGUUUUGCCACUGAGUUGAGACAGUUUCAUUUCUUGCUGCAGCAAAUGUGUUUCCUUAUAUUUAGUGCUUUCUAAAGUUUCUGAAGGAUGCUGGCUUGGAGAAGUUUGGAGAAAGCUUUAUCUGACCAAUCAAUAUUUGACUCUAAAGAAUCUUAGAUGUUGUUGGAAAUCUCGCUCCCUGUUCCUCCCUCCACCCCCAUCCUUUAAGGUUUCCAAGGAGCCUGGCCAUGAUGUUGCAGUAUUACUGGAGGGAAUGCGUAAUGAGGGAUACUAAAUUAUUUGCUUUUUAACAUAAAUGAAGAAAUUAACUGCUAUCAUUUAUUGGUAGAAUGUUCUCCAUGCUCCUGCAAAAAAUAGGAAAAAGAAAAAAAGGGGGGGGGAACAGGAAAUCCAUCCUUGCUCUGCUUAUCCUUGCAUAUAGGACCACCUUCAAAGCGCUCUAUGGCUUGGGGCCUGGGUACUUACGGGACCGCCUGUUACCUCAUGCCUCCCACCGUCCCGUACACUCUCACAGAGAGGGACUUCUCAGGGUGCCGUCCGCCAAACAAUGUCGGCUGGUGGCCCCCAAGGGAAGAUCCUUCUCUGUGGGGGCUCCCACUCUUUGGAAUGAACUUCCCCCUGGUUUACGCCAAAUACCUGACCUUCGGACCUUUCGCCGUGAAUUGAAAACAUAUUUGUUUAUUCGCGCGGGGCUAGCUUAAACUUUUUAAACUGUUUAGUUUUUAAAUUUUAAAUUCUAUUUAUGUUUUAAAUUGGGGUUUUUAGAUUUUAAAUAUUUUAAUUUCUCAGCCAAUUGUGUAAUAAGUUUCUUAAUUUAGUUUUUUAAAUUGUAUAUUGUGUAUGUUUUUUAUCCUGGCUGUACCCUGAGUCCUUCGGGAGAAGGGUG
This is a long non-coding RNA of Ahaetulla prasina, 6852 nucleotides long. RefSeq lists it as uncharacterized. The transcript has 4 exons. The record is from RefSeq and is a predicted model, not a curated record. NCBI's taxonomy places the organism in Eukaryota, Metazoa, Chordata, Lepidosauria, Squamata, Colubridae.